GUUGGUGGGCCGAAAAGUUCGUUCAGGUUUUCCAAGUUACAGAAUAACCCAGACAAACUGUUUGGCCAGCCCAAU
MicroRNA precursor from Bison bison bison, 75 nucleotides. NCBI's taxonomy places the organism in Eukaryota, Metazoa, Chordata, Mammalia, Artiodactyla, Bovidae. The record is from Ensembl.